RNAcentral lists this ribosomal RNA (492 nucleotides) under uncultured bacterium. Its description in RNAcentral is "partial 16S ribosomal RNA". It matches the Rfam family "Bacterial small subunit ribosomal RNA", at positions 29 to 507 of the family's 1533-position model. The record is from RNAcentral.
AGUGAACGCUGGCGGUAGGCCUAACACAUGCAAGUCGAACGGCAGCACAGUAAGAGCUUGCUCUUACGGGUGGCGAGUGGCGGACGGGUGAGGAAUACAUCGGAAUCUACUUUUUCGUGGGGGAUAACGUAGGGAAACUUACGCUAAUACCGCAUACGACCUACGGGUGAAAGCAGGGGAUCUUCGCACCUUGCGCGAUUGAAUGAGCCGAUUUCGGAUUGGCUAGUUGGCGGGGUAAUGGCCCACCAAGGCGACGAUCCGUAGCUGGUCUGAGAGGAUGAUCAGCCACACUGGAACUGAGACACGGUCCAGACUCCUACGGGAGGCAGCAGUGGGGAAUAUUGGACAAUGGGCGCAAGCCUGAUCCAGCCAUACCGCGUGGGUGAAGAAGGCCUUCGGGUUGUAAAGCCCUUUUGUUGGGAAAGAAAAGCAGCAGGUUAAUACCCCGCUGUUCUGACGGUAACCAAAGAAUAAGCACCGGCUAACUUCGUG